GAUGAACGCUAGCGGGAGGCCUAACACAUGCAAGCCGAGCGGGAUUUGUUGGUUAGCUUGCUAACUAACAAUGAGAGCGGCGUACGGGUGCGUAGCACGUGUGCAACCUGCCUUUAUCUGGGGGAUAGCCUUUCGAAAGGAGGAUUAAUACCCCAUAACAUAUUGAUUGGCAUCAGUUAAUAUUGAAAGCUCCGGCGGAUAGAGAUGGGCACGCGUAAGAUUAGCUAGUUGGUGAGGUAACGGCUCACCAAGGCUGCGAUCUUUAGGGGGCCUGAGAGGGUGCUCCCCCACAGUGGGAAUGAGCCACGGACCAGACGCCUACGGGAGGCAGCGGUGAGGAAUAUUGGACAAGGGGUGAGAGCCUGAUCCAGCCACCCCGCGUGAAGGACUAAGGACCUAGGGUUUGUAAACUUUUUUUAUACAGGAAAAACCCUCCUCUCGGGAGGGUAGAUGAAGGUACUGUAUAAAUAAGCCCCGCCUACCCCCGUG
RNAcentral lists this ribosomal RNA (489 nucleotides) under uncultured bacterium. RNAcentral's name for it is "partial 16S ribosomal RNA". It matches the Rfam family "Bacterial small subunit ribosomal RNA", at positions 28 to 507 of the family's 1533-position model. The record is from RNAcentral.